GCAUUAUUUGAGUGAGAAAUUAUAUCUACACUCAUAAGCAUACUGAUAAUUUGACGCUAUGGCACAGAUCACAUGCCCGUGAAAUAUGUACAAAAAGCUGCCAAGCUGCCAGGGACAACGGACAUUCGGUUUAUCCAAAAGUGAAACUUAUACCUAUCACUCUCUCCAACUCCAAGUCUUCAGGCUUCAGCAGACAGCAGAUGGACAGGCCGCUCCCUGUUCGGCUGUUCUGUGUGGAGAGCCAGAGAGGAACAUCCAAAGUCCAAACGCAAUCAACGCAUUACGCAGUACGCACUGAAGCAGUGAAGCAAGAAGCAAAGAAAGACGUGGUGUACUGGUGGCCACGAUCGAGCACAAGGCAGCCAGGCAGGAGCUAACCGAGGUCCGGCGCGAGGGGCAGAGGGCGAGCCGGUGUCCGGCGAGGCGACCGCGGCUGGCGCAGUGCGGCAGUGGCGCCUGGCGGCUGCGGCUAGCAGGCAGCAGCUGGGCGCCUGGGGCCUGCCGGCCUGGGCAGCGACAGGGACGCAGGCAGGGUGGCAACUGGCAACCG
Molecule: long non-coding RNA, 550 nt
Filed under: Zea mays
Lineage: Eukaryota; Viridiplantae; Streptophyta; Magnoliopsida; Poales; Poaceae
Description: long non-coding RNA (ZMAY_LNC001472)
Source: RNAcentral